UCUAAAGCGCCGGUUCUCGUACGAUCCCCGAAGUUAAGCAACAUCAAGCCUGCUCAGUACCUAGAUGGGUGACCGCUUGGGAAUUACCAGGUGUUGUAAG
This is a non-coding RNA of Acanthosepion pharaonis, 100 nucleotides long. NCBI's taxonomy places the organism in Eukaryota, Metazoa, Mollusca, Cephalopoda, Sepiida, Sepiidae. The record is from the annotation of a GenBank genome assembly.